RNAcentral lists this ribosomal RNA (729 nucleotides) under Triticum aestivum (bread wheat). RNAcentral's name for it is "partial small subunit ribosomal RNA". The record is from RNAcentral. Lineage: Eukaryota; Viridiplantae; Streptophyta; Magnoliopsida; Poales; Poaceae.
CUCGGCCUUGCUGCGAUCGACAGGGCCCGCAAGCGGCAGGCGUUGCGGAUCACCUGGCUACGUGCGGGCGAAGCUAGGACGGCAUUUUUCCAGGCAAAGAUCAACUCCAGGCGACAGAAAAACUUCAUUCACGCCCUCCACAGUGGCUGCGCCAUCGCCACCUCCCAUGAAGACAAGGAACAGAUCAUCCACGAGCACUUCAGCUCCACCUUAGGGUCGACGAUGCUGCGUAGCUGCACCAUCAACUGGGAUGCUGUCCGCCUGCCAACCCUGCCCGCGGCCGGCCUCGACAACCCAUUCACCAAAGAGGAGGUGUGGGCGGCGAUCUGCAAGUCUCCACAGGAAAAGUCGCCAGGACCAGACGGCUUCAACGGCUCAUUCUUCCGCUCCUGCUGGCCCAUCAUCAAGGACGACGUCAUGGCGGCCUUCCAUCAGUUCUACAACCUCGCGGGGCACGACAUGUCCAUGAUCAACAACGCGACGAUCAUCCUCCUGCCAAAGAAGGAUGGGGCAACGGCGAUCACUGACUACAGGCCUAUCAGCCUGAUCCAUUCAAUCGCGAAGCUCAUCUCCAAGGUCCUCUCCAUCAGGCUCGCCUCCGUCAUCGGCUGCAUUAUCUCGCCUGCGCAGACGGCUUUCUUGAAGACAAAAUGCAUACAUGACAUCUUCCUCUAUGUGCAAAACUCCGUCAAGGCCCUGCACCGCCGAAGACACCGUGUCUUCUUAUGA